GUCGAGGGCCGUAGAAUAUCCCAGUGCCUACCAAAGUGGUAUUUAAUGAUCAUUCCCUCUUGUUUUUCAGGAAUAAACUGAAACACAAUUUUUUCAAUACUAGAAGGGGAAAAAAAAGUGGUUAAAAAAAAAGUGGUUAAAAAAAAAGACUAUUGAAAGCCAGUUUACAAAAGCCCCACGGUCACAUUUGCCACAAAACAGACAGAUCACUGUUUUAUUUGCCUCAGCAUGGAUUUUCUUGUACAGGACAGAAGGAAAGUCUUAAGAGUUGCUGGAGAAUAGAAAGCUUCAGUCAUAGAGACUUCUAUCUUCAGGACGCAGCAGUUAAAUAGUAUCCAGACUACAGCUUUCACUUCACAGAGGCAAUCCCUGGUCUGUCCUUUUACUAAUGCCCAGUGGGUGACAGGCUCUUUCCCAGAAGUUGAACAGAGCUACGCUGGCCGAUCCCUCUCUCCGAAGUCAAGUGACCUCUCUGGUAAUGGACUGCCUUUCUGUGAGCUUGCAUCCUGACCAGGCUUUCCAAAUCUAGCCUGUGAAGUGAGAUAAGAAAAA
RNAcentral lists this long non-coding RNA (552 nucleotides) under Mus spicilegus (steppe mouse). Its description in RNAcentral is "lncRNA (ENSMSIG00000030785.1)". The record is from RNAcentral. Lineage: Eukaryota; Metazoa; Chordata; Mammalia; Rodentia; Muridae.